Molecule: long non-coding RNA, 1016 nt
Organism: Esox lucius (northern pike)
Lineage: Eukaryota; Metazoa; Chordata; Actinopteri; Esociformes; Esocidae
Source: Ensembl
UCAUUUUCAUGACAUUUAUUUCAAUAAUCAUAAUAGGUGCAUAGAGCAGGGUGAAGAGGGGGUGUAGUCUCAGGCUCAGUUCCUUCCAGGGAAGGUGUUGUGGGGCCAGGUAGAAGGCUGAUUCCCCUGCCUGGGCCCAGGGCAUUCUGUAGCAUCCUGCAAUCAAGACAAAAACACAUGUGUCACACACACACACACACACACACACACACACACACACACACACACACACACACACACACACACACACACACACACACACACACACACACACACACACACACACACACACACACACACACACACACACACACACACACACACACCUAUAUAUUCCAAAAGCUUCACCUGUGAAAUGGGUUAUGGUUAAGGGUUUAGCUAUUACUUAGGGUUAGGGAAUAGGGCUUGGUUAGGGAAUAGGGCUAACUUAGGCUUAGGGAAAGGAAGCAAGGACUUAGGGUUAGGGAAAGGAAGCAAGGACUUAGGCUUAGGGAAAGGAAGCCAGGACUUAGGCUUAGGGAAAGGAAGCAAGGACUUAGGGUUAGGGAAAGGAAGCAAGGACUUAGGCUUAGGGAAAGGAAGCCAGGACUUAGGCUUAGGGAAAGGAAGCCAGGACUUAGGCUUAGGGAAAGGAAGCAAGGACUUAGGCUUAGGGAAAGGGAAAGGAAGCAAGGACUUAGGGUUAGGGAAAGGAAGCAAGGACUUAGGGUUAGGCUUUAGGGUUAAGGGUUUGGGGAAAGGGUUUGGUUAGGUAUAAGCAUGAAAACGACAGGAGGGAGGAUCAUGCCUUGGUUCUCUAUACAGGCUACACAAUAUAUUUAUGUAUGCUGUUCUCUGCUCAUGGGACAAACAUUUAGCACAUUUGUCCUAUUAGAGCCAGAAGAGAUGGACAUCACACUAUCAAGGUGGCUGCAUCCAGGACCAGUACAUAAAACAACUGUUGAGAAACCACACACACACACAAACACACACACACACACAACAGGAGGGAGGAUCAUGCCCUUGUUCUAUUGUGA